RNAcentral lists this ribosomal RNA (274 nucleotides) under uncultured bacterium. RNAcentral's name for it is "partial 16S ribosomal RNA". It matches the Rfam family "Bacterial small subunit ribosomal RNA", at positions 523 to 796 of the family's 1533-position model. The record is from RNAcentral.
AUACGGAGGGUGCAAGCGUUAUUCGGAAUCACUGGGCGUAAAGGACGCGUAGGCGGGUUGGCAAGUCAGAUGUGAAAUCCUACAGCUUAACUGUAGAACUGCAUUUGAAACUGCUAACCUAGAGUAUGGGAGGGGGAGAUGGAAUUAGUGGUGUAGGGGUAAAAUCCGUAGAUAUCACUAGGAAUACCGAAAGCGAAGGCGAUCUUCUGGAACAUAACUGACGCUAAGGCGUGAAAGCGUGGGGAGCAAACAGGAUUAGAAACCCUUGUAGUCC